Molecule: ribosomal RNA, 207 nt
Filed under: uncultured bacterium
Lineage: Bacteria
Description: partial 16S ribosomal RNA
Rfam family: Bacterial small subunit ribosomal RNA
Source: RNAcentral
UUUGUAGGUGGCUUGUUAAGUCAGACGUGAAAUCCCUCAGCUUAACUGGGGAACUGCGUCUGAUACUGAUGAGCUUGAGUGCAGGAGAGGAACGCGGAAUUCCAGGUGUAGCGGUGAAAUGCGUAGAUAUCUGGAGGAACACCGGUGGCGAAGGCGGCGUUCUGGACUGCAACUGACACUGAAAAACGAAAGCCAGGGGAGCAAACG